GAUGAACGCUGGCGGCGUGCCUAAUACAUGCAAGUCGAACGAGGUUUUGACGAAUGAACGAUGUGCUUGCACGGAGUGAUUUUGUUAACACCGAGUGGCGGACGGGUGAGUAACACGUGGGUAACCUGCCCUUAAGUGGGGGAUAACAUUUGGAAACAGAUGCUAAUACCGCAUAAACCCAAGGAUCACAUGGUCUUUGGUUGAAAGAUGGCGCAAGCUAUCGCUUUUGGAUGGACCCGCGGCGUAUUAGCUAGUUGGUAAGGUAACGGCCUACCAAGGCAAUGAUACGUAGCCGAACUGAGAGGUUGAUCGGCCACAAUGGGACUGAGACACGGCCCAUACUCCUACGGGAGGCAGCAGUAGGGAAUCUUCCACAAUGGACGCAAGUCUGAUGGAGCAACGCCGCGUGAGUGAAGAAGGCUUUCGGGUCGUAAAACUCUGUUGUUGGAGAAGAACACGUUUGAGAGCAACUGUUCAGACGUUGACGGUAUCCAACCAGAAAGCCACGGCUAACUACGUGCCAGCAGCCGCGGUAAUACGUAGUGGCAAGCGUUAUCCGGAUUUAUUGGGCGUAAAGCGAGCGCA
This 585-nucleotide ribosomal RNA is filed under the name uncultured Lactobacillus sp. RNAcentral's name for it is "bacterial SSU rRNA". It matches the Rfam family "Bacterial small subunit ribosomal RNA", at positions 28 to 573 of the family's 1533-position model. The record is from RNAcentral. Lineage: Bacteria; Bacillati; Bacillota; Bacilli; Lactobacillales; Lactobacillaceae.